GGCCAACUGCUGUGACUGGAGCGCCACGAUAGAAGCGAGAUCCGAAUUAUCAGGCAGAGGAACCCCACCGGGAUCCCUGGCCAGAUCUUGCUGUUAUGGAGCUGGAUGUGGAUCCUCUAACCUGUGUGGCAGAUGACUCUGACCGUAUCGGGGAGCGGAGUCUAAGGUGCCGCUGGUCUUCACCAGAGCCCGCCGCAAAGCAGGAUGGGCUUGCUGCAGUAGGCGGCACCAAGGCCGCUACCCCCGACACGGCUCGACCACACAGGUAGCUGGGCCGGCGAGGUACCCAAGGAAGAGUCAGGGGCGUAGUGGAACUUAACAGAAGGUCAAAGCAGGCGGCAAAGGCAAAUGGCUCAAAGUGGCAGCCGGCAUUUUACACAUAGAACAAGCAAGGCUCACAGGAUGGUUUGCAGUCAGCCCUUGCUGUAUCACAGCCAAUCAUGAGGGAUUAUUGAGUUUCCUCAACUCCGAAAGGAGGAAAAAGGUUUUUGUUCACUUUGUAUAGACCUAUGAUAAUAUCUCCUCCCUCGAAUUACAUACCUGCUACCGGGGCUGAAAAUCUCCCAGUCAUGACAUCGAAGAAGUUUCCGACAUUAGUCUCCACACUGCUGAAGAUGAUUCCACUGUUGAUGUUGCUGAAGUGGGUGGCCAUAGAGGCCAUGAAGGCUACCUACAGAAGAAGAGGCCAUGGCUGGAGUUAUUCAGUGAUAU
Molecule: long non-coding RNA, 711 nt
Organism: Hyla sarda
Lineage: Eukaryota; Metazoa; Chordata; Amphibia; Anura; Hylidae
Exons: 3
Source: RefSeq, a predicted model, not a curated record